This 313-nucleotide unclassified non-coding RNA is filed under the name plant metagenome. RNAcentral's name for it is "partial contains 5.8S ribosomal RNA, internal transcribed spacer 2, and large subunit ribosomal RNA". The stretch from base 1 to 105 matches the Rfam family "5.8S ribosomal RNA", at positions 50 to 154 of the family's 154-position model. The record is from RNAcentral.
GAAAUGCGAUAAUUAAUGUGAAUUGCAGAAUUCAGUGAAUCAUCGAGUCUUUGAACGCACAUUGCGCCCCCUGGUAUUCCGGGGGGCAUGCCUGUCCGAGCGUCAUUCUGCCCUCAAGCACGGCUUGUGUGUUGGGCUUCCGUCCCUGGCAACGGGGACGGGCCCAAAAGGCAGUGGCGGCACCAUGUCUGGUCCUCGAGCGUAUGGGGCUUUGUCACCCGCUCCCGUAGGUCCAGCUGGCAGCUAGCCUCGCAACCAAUCUUUUUAACCAUGUUGACCUCGGAUCAGGUAGGGAUACCCGCUGAACUUAAGC